UACGUAGGGGGCAAGCGUUGUCCGGAUUUAUUGGGCGUAAAGAGCGUGUAGGCGGCCAGGUAGGUCGGUUGUGAAAACUGGAGGCUCAACCUUCAGAGGUCGACCGAAACCAUCUGGCUAGAGUCCGGGAGAGGAGAGUGGAAUUCCUGGUGUAGCGGUGAAAUGCGCAGAUAUCAGGAAGAACACCCGUGGCGAAAGCGGCUCUCUGGGAACGGUACUGACGCUGAGACGCGAAAGCGUGGGGAGCGAACAGG
Molecule: ribosomal RNA, 254 nt
Filed under: uncultured bacterium
Lineage: Bacteria
Description: partial 16S ribosomal RNA
Rfam family: Bacterial small subunit ribosomal RNA
Source: RNAcentral